UCCCUUGUGCUCUUCACAAUGCAAGUAAUGGGUCUUCAUCGGCUUCUCCUUGCUUGGAAGGAAGCACAGUCAGGCUGACCUCCUCCAGAAGGACACAAAACAAAAAGGUACCCUGGACUGUGGGUGCUACCAGGCAACUAUUGCAAAACACUCGACUGUUUCUCAGCAAUGGAAGAAGAAACCAAGGGAGUGCCCAUGUGAGGCUAGAGAGACACACAGUUAUGCUUGGCACAGAAAGAACCGAGAGGGUGGGAAUUAACACUGUGUCAGUCAGUUACAAGACCUCUCAUGGAAAUCUCAAAAAAAAUCUCAUCCAAAAGCCCUGCAACCAAGUCAGAUAACAAAGAUGAUCACAGCCUGCUAAUUUUACGUUCCUCAGGGCUCUCUUUACCUACCUCAUAUCUGUGUGCCUUUCUGAUCUAUUUCCUGGACCAUUGUUCUCCAUUUUGACUCUCAGGCUAGCAUGGAAAAACUUCUCAUGGCCCAGUGGUACGACAGCUCUCUCUAUAGACCUGCUGCUUCCAUCAUCCGCCAGUCUAAAUUGAGCCAUAACUUCUGGAGAAAGACCUGGCAGGGUGAAUUUUACCCAAUGCUGGCUGUUUGUGGAGAAUCACUACACGCAGCCUGCAAUCCAUGCCUCCUGAAUACAGCCAGAGUAUGGGAAAAGGUCUGAGCAGAAAUUAAAAUCAGCCUCUUGGGUGCCACUGCAAGCAAGCAAAGUUAGCACCCUCCCACUGACACCCUUGGCAUGUAAGCACCCAGCAGUUAGCAGAGUCUCCACAGUAUUUAUGGAAAACUGAUACCUAUAAGCAUUUGUGGAAUUGCAUGAAAGGGGGAAAAAUGUUUUGAAUGAUAUAUUGCUGUGCAUGCAGCUACCGUGUGGGACCUGGACAAUCAGUCUCCUGUAUCAUGAUAAUCAUAUGUUGUUAGUAGUCUUAUCAUCUUCACUGCCACAAGUGUUCAUCUAUGUUUUUUCCCCUUGGUGAACCACAAGGUCAUUUCCAGUCCCUGGCAGCAAGCUCACUGCCUUAAAAUGAACAGGGGGAGUGAUUGCAUGUGAGAAAAUAGUGCGCUGAAAGAAGGAAUUGGGCGAAUCCGACAUCCCUCGCUUUCUCUGGAAGAGCUGUUUCCUGAGUAGGUGGAUCAGGGGAAGGUGGAGACGUCUGGGAGCACUGACUGCACGGGGCUCACUGAAGACAGAGGGCUGAGCUCUGACCUGACAUCCUUGGUAGUGACGCUAAUUAAAUGUGCAUUAUGCAGCAAGGAGCCACAUGUUGAAUACAAGACAGAACUGGGUGGUCCCUCGACGUCUACCUGUUACACGGGAGCUAAAAAGCCACGCAAUUGUUUCCUCAAAGAUUUGCAGUCAGACUGUGUUCGUGUCAGUUUAAGGCAGAUCACAGCCUCCCAAAGAACUUCAAAGGUAGAACAACAAGCACACAGAAAAAAAUGUUGUCUGCACUGAAUUCCUCUGGAGGGUCACUAAGGCACUGCAAAGCCAGCUAUGGGUUGAAUGUGCUGGCUUGUCCCUAGCCUUCCACUAAAGUGUGGAUCUCUGCCUGCAAACCUCAGCACUUAGAAAAGGAGAGAUGUGUGGAACAGUCUUGUCUCAAGAGCAGGGAUACAAACAGCAUCUCUGGAUUGACAAGUUUAUGCAUGUGAUCUGCUGUGCCUGGGGACCACAAGGCUUGACCUGCACCCUAUUGCAAUGCAGAAACUGAGAGUGGUGUACAGGGUCAAAGCAAAGUUUCUGGAUCAGCCCGCUAGCAUAUUUUCAAAACCAGCCAGGGAUGAAUGAGUAGGGAAGUGUAAGAGAAACAUGGCAAGCAGAUGAUCCAGCUCAUUACCACCUUCUCAGCUGCUGGUAGAUGUGAAACUUGAGUGGAGUAUGAGUUGGAGCAUGCAGCUGAACCUCUGUGCUCUGCAGCACCAGUUAGUUCAGCUUCCCAACUCUGACUAAGUCCAGUUGAAACCCUUUUAGACUGGGGGCCUCCAUGACAUCUGGUGGCAAUGAGUUUCCCAGUUUAGUUAAGUAUGGUAUGGAAAAGCAUUCCUUUGUAUUUAUUUCAAAUUGGCUGCCUGGCAGUUUCAAAGGAGUUCCCAUUCUGUCCUAUCUAAUUUGGAGGAUGUGUGCCCACUAGCUAGACCACAGGACUGGAUCUCUGAAUUAAUUCUAUUUUCAUUUUUGUCAUUCUUCUAAAAGAGUAGGUAUUAUUAUUCACUGGAAUGAGUUUCACCUUCAGCCAGCUCAAUUAAAAUUAGUCCAAGCAAAUAGUGAUCCGGAAUUUGGACUGAAAUAACAAUUGAGACUAAUGUUCUUUGUAUACCUGCAAAGAACGGAUAGAAGCUAAACUAGGCAAUAAAGGUAAAAAUUCUAUUUUACAUUUCCAAUGCCUGGAUCGAUUUGUGCAAUUGAAACUGCUGCCAAGAUGUUACAAAAUAACUUGUCGUACAGUGGUAGACCCUAUUAUACAGCAGGAUGCCUGUAGUUACAGAAAGACAUGAUGAGACCCCACAUGAAAGGGAAAAAUGUGUAAUUUCUAAACACAACAAUUUACAUACCGACCUAAGAAACAUCCAUCUAUCUAGCUGUUGUAAUUGUGCAGCUUGCUAUUUCUAUUGACCUGUCUUCAUGUCACUUGUUGUUUGACAGUGAAAGAGCCUAAAAACCUAGAAAAAAUUCAGCAAGACCAAAGAGUGAUUAACAACCUGCGUUAGCAGGCGAACAACCAAACAGCUGAGAGAGGUUCACAGAUAUAAAGGUGCUGCUCAAAAUGAGAA
Apus apus (common swift) is the source of this 2781-nucleotide long non-coding RNA. RefSeq lists it as uncharacterized. Lineage: Eukaryota; Metazoa; Chordata; Aves; Apodiformes; Apodidae. The transcript has 3 exons. The record is from RefSeq and is a predicted model, not a curated record.